This 86-nucleotide transfer RNA is filed under the name Candidatus Kentrum sp. LPFa. RNAcentral's name for it is "Candidatus Kentron sp. LPFa tRNA_Leu_TAG". It matches the Rfam family "tRNA". From Rfam's summary of the family: Transfer RNA (tRNA) molecules are approximately 80 nucleotides in length. Their secondary structure includes four short double-helical elements and three loops (D, anti-codon, and T loops). RNAcentral also lists the same sequence under 1 other name. Lineage: Bacteria; Pseudomonadati; Pseudomonadota; Gammaproteobacteria. The record is from RNAcentral.
GCGAAAGUGGCGGAAUUUGGUAGACGCGCUGGCUUUAGGUGCCAGUGGGGAAACCCGUGAGAGUUCGAGUCUCUCCUUUCGCACCA